This is a long non-coding RNA of Patella vulgata (common limpet), 261 nucleotides long. RefSeq lists it as uncharacterized. NCBI's taxonomy places the organism in Eukaryota, Metazoa, Mollusca, Gastropoda, Patellidae. The record is from RefSeq and is a predicted model, not a curated record. The transcript has 3 exons.
AAUCAAGACAGCUUUUAUGGAUAGGUCUCUGAUAGUUAUGAUGGCAAUCAUUUCUGUAAAUAGCAUUUAUAAUCUGGUAUCACUGUCUGUAUUAUCAGCAAAUCUUCAUGAACAGGUUCACAAACCAUUACCAAGCCUAUACAAAUUGAGAGGUCAAAAUGUCAACUUGGAAGAUUUGCUGGAGGUGAGCCUAUUUAUAGCCAAGCUGCAGGAAUCGUCAGUGGGAAUAACAGCCAUAGAUAUUCUGUUGGUCAAACAAGG